RNAcentral lists this ribosomal RNA (484 nucleotides) under uncultured bacterium. RNAcentral describes it as "partial 16S ribosomal RNA". It matches the Rfam family "Bacterial small subunit ribosomal RNA", at positions 29 to 507 of the family's 1533-position model. The record is from RNAcentral.
AUCGAACGCUGGCGGCAGGCCUAACACAUGCAAGUCGAGCGGAUGAAGGGAGCUUGCUUCUGGUUUCAGCGGCGGAAGGGUGUGUAAUGCCUAGGAAUCUCCCUGCCAGUGGGGGAUAACGUCCGGAAAAGGGCGCUACUACCGCAUACGUGCUGAGGGAGAACGUGGGGGAUCUUUGGACCUUAUGCUAUCAGAUGAGUCUAGGUCGGACUAGCUAGAUGGUGGGGUAAAGGCCUACCAAGGCGACGAUCCGUAACUGGUCUGAGAGGAUGAUCAGUCACACUGGAACGGGGACGGCGUCAGGGGGCCUGCGGGAGGCAGCAGUGGGGAAUAUGAGGCAGCAGGCGGGAGCCUGAUCCAGCCGGGCCACGUGUGAUGAGGAGGUCUUCGGAGUGUGAAGCAGGUUAAGGUGUGGGAAAGGGCAGUAGGUUAUGACGUAGCUGUUGUGACGGUACCAACUGAAGAAGCACCGGCUAACUACGUG